AACCCUUGUGGAGGAGGACGCCGAAGGUGGGGCUAAUGACUGGGGUGAAGUCGUAACAAGGUAGCCGUACCGGAAGGUGCGGCUGGAUCACCUCCUAACAGGGAGACAACAAAAUGUAAAUAUUAAUUUUGUCACCUUAGGUCGAUCGGUAUCUCAGAUUCUUAUUUUUUAAGAAUUUCAGUUUCUAAGUUUUUUCUAGGUCACACCCAUCACUUUUUCCUGGGCCAUUAGCUCAGGUGGUUAGAGCGCACCCCUGAUAAGGGUGAGGUCCCUGGUUCAAGUCCAGGAUGGCCCAUAUCUCUAUGUUGGGGGUAUAGCUCAGUUGGUAGAGCGCCUGCUUUGCAAGCAGGAUGUCAGCGGUUCGAGUCCGCUUACCUCCACUGAAUACCACCUCUUACAUGUAUUCAAAGACGGAAAUUGUUUUGAGUCGUGUCCUAAUUUGCUCUGAGCGAAUCUAGCUUCCUAUUUUAAUCAAUAAAUAAGAUGCUGGACUCAUUGAAUUUUUUUCAUUGUUUUCAGAGAACCUUGACAACUGCAUAGAUUAUUUUUUUUUAAAGACAAUAAGCAUCUUUAAUGAUGCAGAUUUAUUAUUUGUGCGAAUGCAUUAAAUAACAAUUCUAUUAAGCUGAUGCUUCAAUUAUUGAAGUUAUUGGUCAAGCUACAAAGGGCUCACGGAGGAUACCUAGGC
RNAcentral lists this unclassified non-coding RNA (688 nucleotides) under uncultured Prochlorococcus sp. RNAcentral describes it as "partial may contain 16S ribosomal RNA, 16S-23S ribosomal RNA intergenic spacer, and 23S ribosomal RNA". The stretch from base 1 to 98 matches the Rfam family "Bacterial small subunit ribosomal RNA", at positions 1437 to 1533 of the family's 1533-position model. The record is from RNAcentral. Lineage: Bacteria; Bacillati; Cyanobacteriota; Cyanophyceae; Synechococcales; Prochlorococcaceae.